Pseudopipra pipra is the source of this 4994-nucleotide long non-coding RNA. RefSeq lists it as uncharacterized. The record is from RefSeq and is a predicted model, not a curated record. Lineage: Eukaryota; Metazoa; Chordata; Aves; Passeriformes; Pipridae. The transcript has 4 exons.
GUGAUCGGAAAUGUCUUGCCCAAAAGCCAUUCCCGCUGGAAAAAGUCAAAAGGGUUCCUGGCAUUAAAACGACCUUGCGUCAUUCCUGAUGAAAUUAGCAGAACUGCUUGUUUAGAGCUUUGCUAAGGAUGCACUUUGGUCACAGUAAGAAGUAAGAGAUUUGGGGUUUAACCCCCCGUCUGAGCAAGAGCCGUCUGCUUUCACUAGCUGCAAAGCCCGAGACCAGCACUCGAAAGCGCCUUAGACCCGCAGUCCAUUUUUCACUUGUCUUUAAGUGCAAGUGAUGGGAAUUGCUAACCUCGGCUAAGAAAAUUUCAUUUCCCCCAUCCUGCUAAACGGUUCUGGUCGACAUAUGUUUGUUAUCAGAGAGAGGUGCUAUGAACACAGAGCCAUUUUCUUAGCAGCUCUUUGACUCUGUGUUACCAUAGUCCCACACGGCAUUGGUCCUUUCCCGUUGGGAAGUCAUGAAUAAGAGACUAUGAAGCUUGCACGUCAGAUCUUCCUCAAUUAAUCCACCAUUAGCAUGUUUGGGAUCCUCUACUGGAUGGUUAACAGCAGCUUUGGUAACUGUAUGCUGUCCAUACCCAAUUAUGCUCUGCUAAAAAUGAACUCUGCAGAACAACCUUCCUGAGCUGUCAGUGUCUCCCGUUUUCCUAUUUUAACGCUUGUGUGUAGUGGCAGGCGACAGAUGGUGUAGAUCAGAUCGAUUUGAUUGCAUUAGGCGAUUUUUUUUUCCUCCUCUCCCCCCCGACUCCUUUUCUGGAAGCCCACAUUCAUCUGAGAGGCGAUCGCCGGGGACAUGGGAAGCAAGAGCAGCCGCCGAUGUGUGAAAGCAACGAGACAUGGCCAGCCAGAGGCGCCGGGGUCCCUUCAUGGGGUUUGUUAACAUGGUAAUCCGGCACCAGGAGAGAAAGCUGCUUUCUGCUGCCCAGAGCCCAUUCCCCAUCACACAUCAGAUGACUCCCUGGUUUUACACACAGUUGGAGUUCUGCUCGAAACCUGGAUUUAAAGGGAAUCUGUUGCUGCGUAUGACAUCUCUUGCAAGCUCCCAGAGAGAAUUGAUGGAGCAUACAGCUAGGGAAUAGGAUACCAGAGAAGCACAGAGGAAGAAACCAGGCAAUCACCAGGAUGGAAAGGUUCAGCAUCCAUUGGAUAUGGGACAAGUUCGCUCGGCAACCCUUGUGGAUUCUCCUUCUUCUAGAGGCGAAUUAUAGUUAUGGAUUUAUUGUCCCGGUGCCGCACUUCCACCACCACCACCAGCAACAGCAGCAGCUUUCUGACUCUCUUCGGUGACGGGUGAGCCUUGGACUCUGCCUACGGUCUGUGCUCCCAGAUGUCAGCCUAUGACAGCAGAUGGAGGGACACCCGGAGCUCUGCUUCCCCCAGGCACUGCACUGGGCAUUUGCUGCUCCCAGAGCUGCCGCACGCCAUGGGACCCCCAGCUGCCGGAUGCCUGAUCCAGCUCGACUGCUGGUGGAGAUGUGUUGGGGCUGGCUUUGCCCUGCUUGCUGCUGCCUGCAUGCCUUAUUCUUCUGACUUAUGCCCCAGCCCAUUCCCAUCCCAUUGUGCUGCUGCCUCUGGGCUGUAUUGAGUUUUCAAUUAUCACAAUAUACAAUGCAGAUGCUAUGUAAAACAGCCAGCAUCGCUGGAGCACGCUGAACUCAGUAGAAACACAGUUAAAUAAAAGUAAUACUAUAAUACCAGGAGGCUGAUUGGAACCACAAGAUACCAGUGUCAUAUCCUGUGGCUUUUAUGUUGGUAGACAUAGAUUUUAGCCAUUAGAGUCUAGCUCUCCAACAGAUAACAACCAGAGGAAAUGGGUCUGGGUAUCUUCAAUUGUGAAUAACUGAUACACAUUUGCCAAUAAAUGGAGGACUUGGUAAACUGCCAGAUGAAGAAAACAUUUGACAUACAUACAAAUAUAAUCAAGCAUUUAAUAUGGUGUAGCAUCUAACUAUGUGUAACUUAAAGAAACUCCCUGAUUACACGCAAGAGAGUUCUGACUUCAGACAAGCAAUGUGUGGUUGCACUGUCAACUCCAAAUUCAGGCAAGGAGAUAAACAGCAAGUGUGGAUCUCAACUUAUAUAUUUGUACCAGCAGCAACAAGCUCCAAGAUGACAAUGAUAUUGUAAUAUCUAUGUGGGUGUAAAAUGCUAUGACAAAAGAGGAAGAAAUAAGAAAAAAUACAGUAAUGUCAAGUUUGCCUGUUAAGUUUUACAGAAGCUCAGCAUCCGGAAUUUUAGUAUGUGUUAUGCAGACAAAUGUAAAGAGAGAAACACAUUAACUGUGUUUUUCUCCAAAGCAAAAUGAAAUAAGCAUACAGAGCAAAUUAUUAUAUUUAGUACGCUCAGGGCAAAUUCUAGUUGAGGAUUGUGAAGUAAUUUCAAAAUAUUAAUGAAUUAGCCUCACAGCUAUCUUUCAGGUAGAUAAUAAUGAUAAUUGUUACUACAAAUAAAUAUUAUUAUUAUCAGUCUUGCUCCAAGAAAUGAACAUUGAUGCAUAGAGAAUUUAUGUCUUUGUCCAAAGUCUUUGUUUUACUACUGUAACCACCCUUCUCUAGAACUAUUAUAUAUUAAGAUUAUCCUUUUCCAAAUACUGUGUGUGACACUAUUCACUUUAUAAGGUCUAAAAACCAGCCAACUGAGCUUCCUUGUGAAACAGUGCCAGUGAACAUCUCCAUUUGCAUUUGAAUUCUCAAGCAGCAACAAUCUUGCUUUAAAAAAAAAAAGAAGAAGAAAAAAGGAAUCAUGAAAAUCCGUACAAAAUCUGUCAAGGCCCCAUCUGUGACUGGGUAUCAGAAUAUCACUAAGAAGCUCUGAGAAACAAAGUUCAUUCCAAGUCUAACGCAGAGUGCUUUUCGGUCGAUGAAAUUAAUUCAAGCAGGGGUAAAUGAGGGCAUAUACCAUGAAAAACUGUUCCUCCACUGAGGGUGGAAGGAAAGCAGCAUCGCUGCUAUGUGUGUGGUCUUGGUUUUGGUGCAUGUAGCCAUCUUUAAAUACUAAAGGUUUUACAGGGCAAAAUAAUCAGUGUGCUCAUGACUCCUUUUGAUAGCCAGGUACACCUGCUGCUCUUCUGAGGAGUAUAAGGGAAUGAGUGAUCUCUAGUCCUGACAAGAUGAGGACUUAGAUUACAUAUGAUUGUUGCAAAAAGCAGGCUUUCAUAGCCAGCUACCUGAAGAAAUACAGAAACAAAACUCCACCCUGGCCUUGAAAAUCGCCUACAAACAUAUUUAUUUCCUUCUGAAUGGGAAUAUAUAAAGGUUAGGGACACUUAUUUGUAGGCUAUUUAUACAUCUCCUCUUCAGGAUCUGAAUCUCGCAUAUUAAUGAAUUAACUCUGGGAAACAGGAGAACCAAAACAUUAACACCAUUCUAAUGCACCCUAUUAUUUUUCUUUUCCUUUUUUUAACCGUUAGAGUAUGCAAAUGUUCAGUUAACUGGUCCUCAUGUUUUCUCUUUAUUGAAUCGCUUUCACUACAGCAAAUAAAUAUUCAUAAAGAAAUGUGGACAAUAAAUCAUUUCAAAUAGUUCAAAGCCAUUUUCUUUCUAGACUGCAUAUAUUUUCAGCUGUAACUCGCCUUCAAUAUUUCAUUCAAAAGACAGACUUGUAGAAGGACAAUAGAGAUAAUGUGUCAAGUAGUAAUUAAAACAGGGAGUAAUGAUUAAAACCAUUUUGAUCUACAUUGUGCUCUGCCAGAUUCAUAAUCUCCUGUGUUUGUUAGGAUGGCUUUCUACUUGCUUUUUACUUUCUCUACUUUAGAAACUCAAAAUAAACUUCUGUUUGAAGACAUCGAAGAAAACAAAAGAUUUCAACCCUGAGCUUGUGGGUCCAGAGCCCUUUCCAGUUCUGGAGUUUAGGUAUAUCUUCUGUACCAUCCUAGCAAGAUAAAUGCAAGCAGGCACUAUCCCUCCUGCUGAUACUGGGAAGUAUCACUACUUCUCUGGGAAAUAAAUCCAGAUGCAGAGCAGAAGACAAGGAAGGGCCACCCGUGUGUACAGGUAAAUGUAACCCGUCUCACCAUUUAGAUUUAAGCUAAGAGCUUCAAAAGAAAUAAAAGUUAAAGAUAAGGUUAGCUUAUACAUUUAGGGGUCUUGGUUCAAAUCCAAGUAAGAAUUGUGUUCCUUGUCUUGUAUGUUUUGGUAUUCAUAAACAUAUUUGGCAGAAACUCAUUCUCUUUUCUGAUUUGUUGCUGACUUUAGGCCCUUAUUCAACUUACAUACAGACUUAAAUAAAUCGAUUUAGGAAAGCAUUCCUCUUUGUGUUUAAUCUUGGGCAGACAUUCAACUUUGAAAUCAAUGGGACUUAUGAAUGGCCCUGACCUUUGGGUCUAAAUGGUUGCCAAAUCAGUGCACUGAUAGAAAUAUAUUGGAAAAGAUACUAUCCAUGUAUAAUCAAAAUUUUAGUCUCUACUUUCACAGGAAAAUAACCCAAAGAUAGCACAUUAUUCUGCUCAAGAAAUUAAUUUCAUAGUAUUUACUAGAAAGCCUUAAUUCACAUUUUCUGUUUAUGCCAAAAAUACCAGAUGAACAGUGUUGUUCCUUGAUAGCAUAUCUGUAAUAUUCUUUAAAUGAAAAAAUAAAAUAUAGGAAAAGUCCUGGCACAAAGCGGCAUUCAGAAUUACUUAUUGAUACCUUCUCAAUUGCCCACCACAAGCCAAUCCCUUGGAGGACAGGCAGAUGAAAGGCAAGGCAGAGUAGUUCUGAAAUCCCAUGGACUUGAAGACAGUGGCAUAUGGAAUACCACAUGAAACUCCUCCCUAAGAACAGCAUUUAUAAAGACUGCCUGCCCAGUUUACAUAUGGAAUUUUGAGUGAUCAUAUGUUUUUAUUUCACAAUGAGAAUAGCUAGAAUAAAGACAUGGAUGUUUAUGGUAUCAUAAUGUACAGGUUAAACAAGUGCAAUUAUAGCCAAAUCUAUAAGAUUACAAGAAGUAGUUGGUAAAAUAAUUGAUGCUAUGAUUCUAUGAAAUAAAAUAGUCUUCUUAUUGUUCUUAAA